UGGGACAUGUCUGUGGAGUUUCUGAGGCCUUUGCUGGGACUGCAUUGCUUUGUUGGACUCUCCCUCUGACCAGUCUGCUUUCUUCUUCUCUCUUCCACAGGUAUUAAUCCCUAGAGAACUCUCUUACAAAUUUCCUAAACGCUAAUGUCAGAAUUUGCCUUCCAAAGGAUCCAGCCUAAGAUGUGUCCAGUUCAGGAAAGUGUCCUGAAACAUUACAUUCAGCUGAGUUGUGGGCACUGAGAGAGAGAAACGCAAACAGAGAGUACUUAUGAUUCCAGGGAUCAACUUAAGUGAAGACCCAGACGACUUAAAGACUCAACACCAAAACUUUGAAAACCUUGCCUGUCUCAUCUGGGGCCUGACACAGUCUUUGUUGAAUGAAUUAAUAAUGAUAGACCUGAUACAAUGACAGGAUGUGCCCUGUGAAGGAUCCUGGUGGCACGUGACCCAGCACAGCAUGCAGGAGAUCCAUGGAUGAAUCACAAGGAUAACUGAAGAAGAGAUUGCAGAACAGAUUCAGGGAAGAGAAUGUCAAAGGCCUUUUGUCUUGUCCUAGUGGAAAGGGGCAGGUAGUGAACCCCAGGCCCAUGUGGUUGUUUUCAUUGUGUACUAUUUUUUCCCUACAAUAAGUAUAUUUAUGCUUCACAGUUUGAAACAUGUGUAUGGGUCAUCAUAUAUUGUGGACUCUUUAUUUUUAAACAAGUCUUUUUGCUGACAUGCCUAUAAGUAUUGACCAGGAGGGGACGUGAGUGGGCAUAUCCCCUCUCCAUGGAAGUUGCCUGGUGCCCACCAUGGGCAGACUAGCUGAGCUACCACUUAGAGGGCGGGUCUGACCAAGAGUUAGGAAUCCACCAUCGUGGUUCGCUCUUUGAAUUUCCUCCUGUGUUUUCUACAGUUGUGAAAGCUGCAGUCAGCCCUAUCUGUGGGAACUUUAAGAAAGUGACCCAUCCGACCCUGCAGCAACUUUCUGCCUGGUUUUUCUAAACUGCUAAGAUUUUUGACAAGUGAUUUCAUGGUCCUUUUAUUCCUGUGUGUCAGAUGCACAGUAUUUACUUUGUACUAUGAUUUGGAUAUGCAGAGAAAACAUACUUUACUUUUUCUCCACCUAAUAUAACCUUCCUUUAAAGUCCUCACCCAGCUGGUUAGCAAAGAGAAAUUUUGUGUUCAAAUUAAGGCUUAAAUCAAUAUUAAAACCAAUAUUAAAGUAUAUUUAG
Molecule: long non-coding RNA, 1214 nt
Filed under: Homo sapiens (human)
Lineage: Eukaryota; Metazoa; Chordata; Mammalia; Primates; Hominidae
Description: HSALNT0361497
Source: RNAcentral